UCCAAAGUUGGUCCAGGAUGUCUG
RNAcentral lists this non-coding RNA (24 nucleotides) under Rattus norvegicus (Norway rat). Lineage: Eukaryota; Metazoa; Chordata; Mammalia; Rodentia; Muridae. The record is from RNAcentral.